RNAcentral lists this transfer RNA (73 nucleotides) under Caldifarciminota bacterium. RNAcentral's name for it is "tRNA-Ala". It matches the Rfam family "tRNA". Rfam says of the family: Transfer RNA (tRNA) molecules are approximately 80 nucleotides in length. Their secondary structure includes four short double-helical elements and three loops (D, anti-codon, and T loops). Further hydrogen bonds mediate the characteristic L-shaped molecular structure. tRNAs have two regions of fundamental functional importance: the anti-codon, which is responsible for specific mRNA codon recognition, and the 3' end, to which the tRNAs corresponding amino acid is attached (by aminoacyl-tRNA synthetases). tRNAs cope with the degeneracy of the genetic code in two manners: having more than one tRNA (with a specific anti-codon) for a particular amino acid; and 'wobble' base-pairing, i.e. permitting non-standard base-pairing at the 3rd anti-codon position. Lineage: Bacteria; Pseudomonadati; Caldifarciminota. RNAcentral also lists the same sequence under 1 other name. The record is from RNAcentral.
GGGGGUGUAGCUCAGCUGGGAGAGCGCUUGCUUCGCAUGCAAGAAGUCGGCGGUUCGAGUCCGCUCACCUCCA